Molecule: ribosomal RNA, 580 nt
Filed under: Bacillus sp. CH366_12T
Lineage: Bacteria; Bacillati; Bacillota; Bacilli; Caryophanales; Bacillaceae
Description: bacterial SSU rRNA
Rfam family: Bacterial small subunit ribosomal RNA
Source: RNAcentral
GCAGUCGAGCGGACCUCCUUCGGAGGUCAGCGGCGGACGGGUGAGUAACACGUGGGCAACCUGCCUGUAAGACUGGGAUAACUCCGGGAAACCGGAGCUAAUACCGGAUAACCUUUUGAACCGCAUGGUUCAAAACUGAAAGACGGUUAUGCUGUCACUUACAGAUGGGCCCGCGGCGCAUUAGCUAGUUGGUGAGGUAAUGGCUCACCAAGGCGACGAUGCGUAGCCGACCUGAGAGGGUGAUCGGCCACACUGGGACUGAGACACGGCCCAGACUCCUACGGGAGGCAGCAGUAGGGAAUCUUCCGCAAUGGACGAAAGUCUGACGGAGCAACGCCGCGUGAGUGAUGAAGGUUUUCGGAUCGUAAAGCUCUGUUGUCAGGGAAGAACAAGUGCGGGAGUCACUGCCCGUGCCUUGACGGUACCUGACCAGAAAGCCGCGGCUAACUACGUGCCAGCAGCCGCGGUAAUACGUAGGUGGCAAGCGUUGUCCGGAAUUAUUGGGCGUAAAGCGCGCGCAGGCGGUCUUUUAAGUCUGAUGUGAAAGCCCCCGGCUCAACCGGGGGAGGGUCAUUGGAAA